This 258-nucleotide ribosomal RNA is filed under the name uncultured bacterium. RNAcentral's name for it is "partial 16S ribosomal RNA". It matches the Rfam family "Bacterial small subunit ribosomal RNA", at positions 793 to 1050 of the family's 1533-position model. The record is from RNAcentral.
GUCCACACCGUAAACGCUGUCUACUAGCUGUGUGUGCCUUUAAGGCGUGCGUAGCGAAGCUAACGCGCUAAGUAGACCGCCUGGGGAGUACGGCCGCAAGGUUAAAACUCAAAUGAAUUGACGGGGGCCCGCACAAGCGGUGGAGCAUGUGGUUUAAUUCGAUGCAACGCGAAGAACCUUACCUGCCCUUGACAUCCUGCGAACUUUCUAGAGAUAGAUUGGUGCCUUCGGGAACGCAGUGACAGGUGCUGCAUGGCU